RNAcentral lists this long non-coding RNA (177 nucleotides) under Mustela putorius furo (domestic ferret). RNAcentral describes it as "lncRNA (ENSMPUG00000026666.1)". Lineage: Eukaryota; Metazoa; Chordata; Mammalia; Carnivora; Mustelidae. The record is from RNAcentral.
AGAAAUUGAAAGCAACCAUCCCUGGUUUCCCUGCAUUUGGGCUAAGAUCUUGCCACAACCAUGAUCCAGAAAUUACACUGCUCUGAGCAGAGAAUCCUGGGCAUUGAACACGUUUUGCAUGGUCUCAGAGGGAAUGGUCUCUUCUUCAGGGCUGGACUCUUCCCCAGGGAGGGGUAA